UACGUAGGGUGCAGGCGUUAUUCGGAAUUACUGGGCGUAAAGCGUGCGCAGGCGGUUUGCUAAGACAGGUGUGAAAUCCCCGGGCUUAACCUGGGAACUGCGCUUGUAACUGGCAAGCUAGAGUGUGGCAGAGGGGGGUGGAAUUCCACGUGUAGCAGUGAAAUGCGUAGAGAUGUGGAGGAACACCGAUGGCGAAGGCAGCCCCCUGGGCUAACACUGACGCUCAUGCACGAAAGCGUGGGGAGCAAACAGG
RNAcentral lists this ribosomal RNA (253 nucleotides) under uncultured bacterium. RNAcentral describes it as "partial 16S ribosomal RNA". It matches the Rfam family "Bacterial small subunit ribosomal RNA", at positions 524 to 776 of the family's 1533-position model. The record is from RNAcentral.